GCAGGGGUUUGGAUUCGUGACAGGCCCAUCGCCCUGGGCCUGUCAUAGUAACCCAUGCCAGAGCAGACUGUCCCCAAACCAUUGCCUGGCCUCUGUGCCUGUAGGCUGCUCGCACUGAAGUGGCUUGCACAGCG
Molecule: small nucleolar RNA, 134 nt
Organism: Callithrix jacchus (white-tufted-ear marmoset)
Lineage: Eukaryota; Metazoa; Chordata; Mammalia; Primates; Cebidae
Source: Ensembl